UGGGGGACAACAUUCCGAAAGGAAUGCUAAUACCGCAUACGCCCUACGGGGGAAAGCAGGGGAUCUUCGGACCUUGCGCUAAUAGAUGAGCCUAAGUCAGAUUAGCUAGUUGGUGGGGUAAAGGCCUACCAAGGCGACGAUCUGUAGCGGGUCUGAGAGGAUGAUCCGCCACACUGGGACUGAGACACGGCCCAGACUCCUACGGGAGGCAGCAGUGGGGAAUAUUGGACAAUGGGCGAAAGCCUGAUCCAGCCAUGCCGCGUGUGUGAAGAAGGCCUUUUGGUUGUAAAGCACUUUAAGCGAGGAGGAGGCUACCUAGAUUAAUACUCUUGGAUAGUGGACGUUACUCGCAGAAUAAGCACCGGCUAACUCUGUGCCAGCAGCCGCGGUAAUACAGAGGGUGCGAGCGUUAAUCGGAUUUACUGGGCGUAAAGCGUGCGUAGGCGGCUUUUUAAGUCGGAUGUGAAAUCCCUGAGCUUAACUUAGGAAUUGCAUUCGAUACUGGGAAGCUAGAGUAUGGGAGAGGAUGGUAGAAUUCCAGGUGUAGCGGUGAAAUGCGUAGAGAUCUGGAGGAAUACCGAUGGCGAAGGCAGCCAUCUGGCCUAAUACUGACGCUGAGGUACGAAAGCAUGGGGAGCAAACAGGAUUAGAUACCCUGGUAGUCCAUGCCGUAAACGAUGUCUACUAGCCGUUGGGGCCU
Molecule: ribosomal RNA, 700 nt
Filed under: Acinetobacter sp.
Lineage: Bacteria; Pseudomonadati; Pseudomonadota; Gammaproteobacteria; Moraxellales; Moraxellaceae
Description: bacterial SSU rRNA
Rfam family: Bacterial small subunit ribosomal RNA
Source: RNAcentral